RNAcentral lists this non-coding RNA (21 nucleotides) under Arabidopsis thaliana (thale cress). The record is from RNAcentral. Lineage: Eukaryota; Viridiplantae; Streptophyta; Magnoliopsida; Brassicales; Brassicaceae.
CAAGCUUGCAGAAUUGGCGUC